CUGGAACGCGCCCCAGGCGCACCCAGAAACCCUUUGUGAACUUAUACCUUACUGUUGCCUCGGCGCAUGCCGGCCCCCCCGGGGGCCCCUCGGAGACGAGGAGCAGGCACGCCGGCGGCCAAGUUAACUCUUGUUUUUACACUGAAACUCUGAGAAAAAAAAACACAAAUGAAUCAAAACUUUCAACAACGGAUCUCUUGGUUCUGGCAUCGAUGAAGAACGCAGCGAAAUGCGAUAAGUAAUGUGAAUUGCAGAAUUCAGUGAAUCAUCGAAUCUUUGAACGCACAUUGCGCCCUCUGGUAUUCCGGAGGGCAUGCCUGUUCGAGCGUCAUUUCAACCCUCAAGCAUUGCUUGGUGUUGGGGCACUGCUUUUUACCCAAAAGCAGGCCCUGAAAUCUAGUGGCGAGCUCGCCAGGACCCCGAGCGCAGUAGUUAAACCCUCGCUUUGGAAGGCCCUGGCGGUGCCCUGCCGUUAAACCCCCAACUUUUGAAAAU
Molecule: ribosomal RNA, 495 nt
Filed under: Diaporthe sp. Pcs025
Lineage: Eukaryota; Fungi; Ascomycota; Sordariomycetes; Diaporthales; Diaporthaceae
Description: eukaryotic LSU rRNA
Rfam family: 5.8S ribosomal RNA (bases 178-331)
Source: RNAcentral